AGGACGAACGCUGGCGGCGUGCUUAACACAUGCAAGUCGAGCGGAAAGGCCCUUCGGGGUACUCGAGCGGCGAACGGGUGAGUAACACGUGAGCAACCUGCCCCUGGCUCUGGGAUAGCCUCCGGAAACGGGGAUUAAUACCGGACAUUCACUUCCUUCCGCAUGGUUGGUGGUGGAAAGUUUUUUUCGGCCGGGGAGGGGCUCGCGGCCUAUCAGCUUGUUGGCGGGGUAACGGCCCACCAAGGCGACGACGGGUAGCCGG
RNAcentral lists this ribosomal RNA (262 nucleotides) under uncultured bacterium. Its description in RNAcentral is "partial small subunit ribosomal RNA". It matches the Rfam family "Bacterial small subunit ribosomal RNA", at positions 26 to 290 of the family's 1533-position model. The record is from RNAcentral.